CGUAAGGCGCCGAAUGAGUCAUUAAAAAAUUAACAUCAUCCGAUCCCUAGUCGGCAUAGUUUAUGGUUAAGACUACGACGGUAUCUGAUCGUCUUCGAUCCCCUAACUUUCGUUCUUGAUUAAUGAAAACAUCCUUGGCAAAUGCUUUCGCAGUAGUUAGUCUUCAAUAAAUCCAAGAAUUUCACCUCUGACAAUUGAAUACUAAUGCCCCCAACUAUCCCUAUUAAUCAUUACGUCAAUCCUAGAAACCAACAAAAUAAGAUCGAACGUCCUAUUUCAUUAUUCCAUGCUAAUGUAUUCAAGCGUUAGCCUGCUUUAAACACUCUAAUUUUUUCAAAGUAACAGUCCAAAUUCCCCGCAACACCAAAUUAAUGGCAUUACGGUUCAUAAGGAAGGAGGAAUCAGUGAGAUCAGUACAUACCGGAGGCAUGACCAACCUACUAACCCCGAAAUUCAACUACGAGCUUUUUAACUGCAACAACUUUAAUAUACGCUAUUGGAGCUGGAAUUACCGCGGCUGCUGGCACCAGACUUGCCCUCCAAUUGUUCCUCGUUAAGAGAUUUAAAUUGUACUCAUUCCAAUUACGAGAUCCUAAAGAACCCCGUAUUGUUAUUUAUUGUCACUACCUCCCCGUGUCGGGAUUGGGUAAUUUGCGCGCCUGCUGCCAUCCUUGGAUGUGGUAGCCGUUUCUCAGGCUCCCUCUCCGGUGUCGUGCCCUAACACCCCGUUACCCGUUACCACCAUGGUAGGCCUCUAUCCUACCAUCGAA
RNAcentral lists this ribosomal RNA (770 nucleotides) under uncultured Glomus. RNAcentral describes it as "partial 18S ribosomal RNA". Lineage: Eukaryota; Fungi; Glomeromycota; Glomeromycetes; Glomerales; Glomeraceae. The record is from RNAcentral.